AUUGAACGCUGGCGGCAUGCCUUACACAUGCAAGUCGAACGGCAGCACGGGGGCAACCCUGGUGGCGAGUGGCGAACGGGUGAGUAAUAUAUCGGAACGUACCCUGGAGUGGGGGAUAACGUAGCGAAAGUUACGCUAAUACCGCAUACGAUCUAAGGAUGAAAGUGGGGGAUCGCAAGACCUCAUGCUCCUGGAGCGGCCGAUAUCUGAUUAGCUAGUUGGUGGGGUAAAGGCCUACCAAGGCAUCGAUCAGUAGCUGGUCUGAGAGGACGACCAGCCACACUGGGACUGAGACACGGCCCAGACUCCUACGGAGGCAGCAGUGGGGAAUUUUGGACAAUGGGGGCAACCCUGAUCCAGCAAUGCCGCGUGAGUGAAGAAGGCCU
Molecule: ribosomal RNA, 386 nt
Filed under: uncultured bacterium
Lineage: Bacteria
Description: bacterial SSU rRNA
Rfam family: Bacterial small subunit ribosomal RNA
Source: RNAcentral